CACGUAGGGUGCGAGCGUUGUCCGGAAUUAUUGGGCGUAAAGAGCUCGUAGGCGGUGUGUCGCGUCGGCCGUGAAAACCUGCAGCUUAACUGUGGGCUUGCGGUCGAUACGGGCAUCACUGGAGUUCGGCAGGGGAGACUGGAAUUCCUGGUGUAGCGGUGAAAUGCGCAGAUAUCAGGAGGGAACACCGGUGGGCGAAGGCGGGGUCUCUGGGGCCGA
RNAcentral lists this ribosomal RNA (219 nucleotides) under uncultured bacterium. RNAcentral describes it as "partial 16S ribosomal RNA". It matches the Rfam family "Bacterial small subunit ribosomal RNA", at positions 524 to 737 of the family's 1533-position model. The record is from RNAcentral.